RNAcentral lists this transfer RNA (69 nucleotides) under Ictidomys tridecemlineatus (thirteen-lined ground squirrel). RNAcentral's name for it is "Spermophilus tridecemlineatus (thirteen-lined ground squirrel) tRNA". It matches the Rfam family "tRNA". From Rfam's summary of the family: Transfer RNA (tRNA) molecules are approximately 80 nucleotides in length. Their secondary structure includes four short double-helical elements and three loops (D, anti-codon, and T loops). Further hydrogen bonds mediate the characteristic L-shaped molecular structure. tRNAs have two regions of fundamental functional importance: the anti-codon, which is responsible for specific mRNA codon recognition, and the 3' end, to which the tRNAs corresponding amino acid is attached (by aminoacyl-tRNA synthetases). tRNAs cope with the degeneracy of the genetic code in two manners: having more than one tRNA (with a specific anti-codon) for a particular amino acid; and 'wobble' base-pairing, i.e. permitting non-standard base-pairing at the 3rd anti-codon position. Lineage: Eukaryota; Metazoa; Chordata; Mammalia; Rodentia; Sciuridae. The record is from Rfam by way of RNAcentral.
GGAGUUGUGGUUCAGAGGUAGAGCACUCGCCUAUCACGCGUGAGGCACUGGGUCGGAUCCUCAGCACCA